ACUUCUCUAACUCUGGUAACCGAACCUGCUCGAACAAAAAAUUAACUUGUUAAUUGCAAGUAAACGAUCAUUGAUUAUAAAAUUCUUGUACGUACCCUUUCCGUGAAGAUACUAGUAGUUCUUUUGUAUCUCGCCAUGAAUUCAGGACAUGCAUAUAUCCAUAAUUCUUUCAAGGAUGGAAAUUCAAGAAUAUCAAGAUCUCCAGUGCAGAAGCUUGUGAUCUUUUCAAGAUCAGACAUCCCCAGAUAUUGCAACUGAGGAAACAUUACAAUAUUUUUCUUCCUUUCUUCUUGGUUGUCCAAGACUAUUAACUCUUCCAGGACAGGACAUUUACUUAUCUCAAUGCUUUGGAGUCGAACAAAGCUACUAACAGUAGAAGAUGAAAAUAGACAUCUUAAAUUCAUACAUCCGUGCAGGUCCAAGUGUGUUAAAUUCUGAAUACCACAAGACAUGACUGUAACUUGGCUCGGCCAAAUCCUCUCAACAUUUAUUGACACCAACUCCAACUUCUCUAACUCUGGUAAUGCAACCUGCACGAUCAAAAAAUUAACUUGUUAAUUACAAGCAACAAUGAUUUCUGUUGAUGGACAAAUCAAUAAAAUUACUCUUUCUCUGGUUAUAGUUCUUUUCAGUUUUUCAUACAAACAACCGUUAAUCAAGUUUUCCAAAUUAUUCCUUACUAAAUGUAUAGAUUUAGACGGCGGCUAAUAUAAUUCAUAUUGCAAAUAUUUUUUGAUUGUAACGAAUUUUGUAAUAUUAAAUUUUGGUUGAUUAACAAUAGGACCUACUGUCCAGCGCGAGCAGUUCUCGGGAUUUAACUACUGGCAC
Molecule: long non-coding RNA, 828 nt
Filed under: Citrus x clementina
Lineage: Eukaryota; Viridiplantae; Streptophyta; Magnoliopsida; Sapindales; Rutaceae
Description: Citrus clementina (C. clementina) long non-coding RNA (CCLE_LNC002909)
Source: RNAcentral